Harpia harpyja (harpy eagle) is the source of this 433-nucleotide long non-coding RNA. RefSeq lists it as uncharacterized. NCBI's taxonomy places the organism in Eukaryota, Metazoa, Chordata, Aves, Accipitriformes, Accipitridae. The record is from RefSeq and is a predicted model, not a curated record. The transcript is spliced from 3 exons.
CCCUGAUGAACGUUCUGCUAUUUUAACAUGGAUGGCAUUCCAGAACUACUCACUUCCUCGUCAAUCUGGGACAGCUUGAGGGAUGCAGAUCUGGAGCUCUCGGAGGCGUAGUUCAGGGGGAAGCUGAAGGACAGAAAGAGGAUUUGUAAAAUGACAAAGCAAAGCAGGGGACAGAGCUCUAUCCUGAUUUCAGGGUUCAGAAAAAUGACAGUUUCUAUACACUGUAAACCUAUAUGUGUAACUACUACUUCUGGAGUGUGCAGCCCUAAACCAGAGGGCACUGGCACCUUUACUGCAAAACAGAUGAAAGCAUCACGAAUAUCCCCUUGUGAACAGCUGUCUGCCUUUUUCUGGAGCUCUGCAGGUAAGGUAUUGCGUUUCUUUAAUUCAGAUCACAUUAAUAAUAAAGCUCUAAUUUCAAAAUUCCAGAAUA